RNAcentral lists this ribosomal RNA (406 nucleotides) under uncultured bacterium. Its description in RNAcentral is "partial 16S ribosomal RNA". It matches the Rfam family "Bacterial small subunit ribosomal RNA", at positions 30 to 526 of the family's 1533-position model. The record is from RNAcentral.
AUUGAACGCUGGCGGCAGGCUUAACACAUGCAAGUCGAGCGAGCGGCGGACGGGUGAGUAAUGUCUGGUAAACUGCCUGAUGGAGGGGGAUAACUACUGGAAACGGUAGCUAAUACCGCAUACCAUCAGAUGUGCCCAGAUGGGAUUAGCUAGUAGGUGGUGUAAUGGCUCACCUAUGCGACGAUGCCUAGCUGGUCUGAGAGGAUGACCAGCCACACGGGAACUGAGACACGGUCCAGACUCCUACGGGAGGCAGGAGUGAGAAAUAUUGGACAAUGGGCGCAAGCCUGAUGCACACAUGCCGCGUGUGUGAAGAGGGCCUUCGGGUUGUGAAGCACUUUCAGCGAGGAGGCGUUACUCGCAGAAGAAGCACCGGCUAACUCCGUGCCAGCAGCCGCGGUAAUUC